Molecule: long non-coding RNA, 9314 nt
Filed under: Homo sapiens (human)
Lineage: Eukaryota; Metazoa; Chordata; Mammalia; Primates; Hominidae
Description: HSALNT0364196
Source: RNAcentral
AAGUGAGACCCUGUCUUUAUUUAAAAUUAAGGAAAAAUAAAGAUACGAUACUGUAUGCAGAUUUAAAUCAUUUUGAGCAAGUCGUAUUUUCUUGCCACCUUGGAAGAGUCAAUUAACAUUUAUUGCUGGCCACAUGGCAGACAAUAUGCUCAAUGCUUCAUGGGCAUUAUCUCAUUUCUGUUUUAAAUUACAAAAUGAAGUCUAUGGAUGUUGAAAAUUUUGAAAGAUAUAGAAAAACACAGGAUAAAAAUUGAGAGGCUCUCGUCUCUUCUGCCUUCCCUUACCUUCUCUCUCACUGCUCUCUUUCCCUACAGCUUACCCUAGUGGUACAUGUAUGGUUGUGUGCCGGAUAUGUAUGUGUGUGUUUGUGGGUAGCUGUGUGUACAUACACACAUAACCAUACAAACAAGACCAUAGCUAUUUAUUGUAUUAAGACUUUUCCCCCCUUUUUAAUAGUGUAAUUUGGAUAUUUUCCUGCCUUCUACCAAAUACAUAAAUAUCAUGUUUCUUAAUACUCUUAAUAGUCUAUUCCAUAGUUUAGACUGUAUUUAACAACUCCCUUAUCAUUAGAUAUUUAGGCUUGUCCAGCUUUUUGCUAUCACAAACAGGGAUCUUGGUGUAUAUGUGAAUGUUGGCAGCAGGUUAGCAGAGCACCAGAAGUGGGACUACUGGUCAAACCUUUGCACAAAAAUCAUACAGCCUCUAAUAGCAUUUCCCAGAGAAGAAAAGGGCCUUGUCUGGAACACAGAUCAAGAACUCUUAACUUUUUCUGAUCCAUGCUUUACAUUGCCACUUGAUAAAUACUACAUGUCAUCUCUAAGUACCACUAAAUCUCCCAUCUGGAGAGAUGGGACACUCUCCUUUAUACCUUUGAUGACUUUACUACCCAUGAUAAAAGCAGGAGAUCCCACCUUCCAGCUGCCCCUUCUUAAACAUCUAACUCUGUGCAAGUCCCAACCCUCAUUUAAUCACUUUGCUACUUCAUUGCAUUCAUCACACCAACUUGCAGUUAUUUGUACAGUUGUUCAUCUUCCAUUAGACUGAGCCCUCUGAGGGCAGGAAAUAUUUUUCAUUCUUCUUGGAACUUCCUUUUCCUAACAUAGUGUCUGAGAUGCUCAAUAAACUUUUUUUUGAGUGAAUAAAAAAUAAAUGAGGGAGUAGAAUACCUAGAUGAAUUCAGUUAUAAAAUGGCUCCAGGUACUGAAAUUGUCCAUUUUCAUUUUUAUGUUUUUGCAAUAAGAAAGAUGAACAUGCAUCUCCCCUAGUGCUACUUUUUUCAAAACUAAAUAUUCUAAUUCCAAGGCUUUAUUUCCGUCAAAUAACUACCACUUCCAAAUUCUUCUGUUAUUUUUAUUGUUCUCCAGGAUCUCUCCAUCUCAAUCAUGUCAUACAUUGGAAACAAUUCUCUGACACUUCAUCUAUAUACAAUCAACACUUUGUUAGGCUCUUGUAGCUGCCUCAUUUUUUGUAACACAAUAGAAUACUUGCCUUAAUAAUAAAUUAUAUUUGCCUUACAGUAUGGCUUAUUAGAUACCCAAAAUGUUUUCUGCCAUGCUUUCGAAAUGUUUUGACUGCAUGACAUUCUAUGGUGUUAAAAUUCCCCAAAAUGAAUGAUUUAUACUGCAUUUGCCUUAAUUGGAAUCUAUCCUGUUUUCAUCUUUCCUACUUUGACAGUCAUCUCAAUGUAAAUCCUGUGUCAGAGGUGCUUAUCUGUCUCUUUGCUACUUUUCUUUGAAAACUAAACAUAAACACAAGAAAUUUCACAUAGUAAAACUAGUAAGAUCUGGGUUUAUAAAUAUAAAUGGUGCAUCUGUGGCGGCAGAGCUCUGUCUCCAACUUCUUGGAGAUAAACAAGUUCAUAGUUAGAAAUGCUCUAGAAGUAAACAGGAAACCUGCUACACAAAUUGUGAAAUAUAAGUAUGUUUUAUAGAAGUCCUGAAAUUGUAUUUUUCAACAAGUUAAAACAGAAAAACCUAACACUACCAUAUCCAUUAAAUAUUAAUUCUCUCUUCCUCAAAUGUUUUACUCAUAUCUAUGCCUGUCCCUUUGGAACAUUUUUCAGUCAAAUUCAUAACACUGUCUUGAUUCCAAGCCUCAGGAGAACAUUUGAAUGAAAUUUUCAAAUGCUUCAAUUUUUAUAUCAUCCAAUGUGGAAUUCACAUUUACUGAGCACCUGCAAUGAGCUAGGAUCUGUACUACAUACUUUUAAAAAUACAUUAUUUUUCCUAAGAAAGUUCUGAGGUAGAUAUAUUAUUUUACAGAUGAGGAAACAGAGGUUCAGAGAGGUUAACUGACUUCACAAAAGUCAUAGAGCUACUAGGUAACAGAGCUCAUUGAACAUGGAGCUAGGAUUCAACCCUGGAUCGCCGUGAAGCCAUUUUGUUUCCAUGACAUCAUGACAUUGGUUAUAACACCACAAUUGUUUAGAAUAUAAGGCUUGUUUAGAAUGCAAGGCUUCCUCAAUUCUCCACCCUUCCCCUCUUGACAUCUUGCUCUUCUUCCCUUCAUCUAUUGUGUUAGUCAGGUGCAUGCUGGUCUUCCCUCUAUCAAACUGUAAGCUACUUGGAGACUUGGGAUGCCUCACUCAUCUCUAUUCCCAAACCUCAGGGUCUAUCAUUCUACCUUCUGUAUAGACAGGACUUUCAUAGUUUUGAACAAGUCAGAACCUGAAAGAAUUUGCUUCCAGAACAGGACAUUGACAGGAAAAUUAAGCAUGAUCAUGCCGAGUAAAAUAGGAAUAAGAAUUGGACCUACCUCAAGAUCUGUUGAGAAGAUUAUGAGAGAGCUGAUGGAUCUAAAAGAUUGGCGCUUGAUAGAAUUGGGAUCAUUUGUUUUGACUAGAACAAUCUCUUGCAGCUUGGAUGGAGAAACUUUACAGAGGUUUCAGCCAAACACUCAUGAAUUCUUUAAUGUGUGAAAUAAAGUAAGUUUUAUAGGCAAAUAACAAUCUGAAUCCCUAACUAGCUAUUUCAUAUAAUAUGCAUAUAACUCUGAAAAUUACAUACAUCAAAUUUCAAUUUGGCUUCAUGCAUGCUUUGUUUUAUAGAUUCAUAAAGGCAGAUUUUCUCUGAUUAUCAGACUUAUUGCAAAAUGGAGUCAACACAGAAACUUCCUGAAGUUGGCAAAGCUUGUUUUCUUUGGCUGACAGGAGUAACUGAUGUAUUAUUAUUUUUUAAGGCUCUGAGAUAAAUCUGAUUCAUGUUUGAAUCAUAAGUUUAUUAUUGAUUUUUAGUGUGGAUUUUGCAUAAGAUACUCAAUUUAGAGAAUACUCAGCUUUCUCAUAUGCAGAAUAGAAAAAAAGUAGUUACCUGAUCAGAUUUUUUGAAAGGUAAAUGCAACAGCAGUUGUAAAUGGCAUAGUCCAUUGUUAGGAAUAGACUAGGUGUUCAAUAAAUGAAUAAAAAAAAACCGUGAAGCUCUCCUGAAGCUUUAUAUUCCCUGUCUAUAAAAUGGAGACAUCACUGAUUUCCUGCUUACAUUACAAGACUGCUGUGAAGAUCAAAUGAAGAAACAGAUAAAAAUGUUUGGUAAACUGAAUUGUACAGUAUAAAUAGAAAGCGGUGACAAAAGUAAUUCAUACCAAUGCAGUUUUUUAAAAAUAUCCCAACCUGCCUACACAACUACUUCCUCUCUCUGAGAUUUAUCUCAAAAGUGGAAUUAGAUUCCUGUCUUAGCUGUAAAAAUAAAGCCACAAAGGGCAUCAUGCAUGAGAGAGUAAAUGUGAAACUCUGUGGGGGAAAAUGGAAACUUCAGAUAUUAUUAGGGCCUAGCUGCCAAUGGUGAUUCUCUCAAGAUUUUAUUGGCAGGUUGAGUGAAAGUGCCAGAGUGUGGAUGCACAAAUUGUAGUUUAAUUGGUGUGAUUUAUAGCUAAUGGUGCAUCAGAAGGAGGAACUAGGAACUGUGCCUUCUAAUUUAAGGCAUAGUACCUAAGACUGCAUCCACUAGGUAAGAAAACCUUCCUUGGCAAACUCAAAUAUUAAAUCUUCGCUGAAUUUGUCUUGUUCUUUUAUAUAAAAAUCAUGGAGCCAGGAGCUAAAAUAAUAUCUAAGUUUCCUCUUUGCCUGACGCCAUCCAUGCAAAAUGUGACUUGCUUCUUCAGCAGCAGCAUGAAAACAAACUAAUACACCACUAUUCCUAGGUAAGUAGAGCCACAAUGGGAAGACCACUAAGGGAAUAUGGAGGCUCACAGAGGCUAGUCAAUUUAUCCAAGGCCACGCAGCAAAGCUGGGACUCAAACUCAAAUCUUCUAGUCCUAGUUUCAUUCAGUUUUUUUUUUUUCCUACAUUGAUUCUAGACUUUGUUCUACAAGUGACUACUUUUCUGUUUUGUUCCUGACAUGAACAUGUCCAUGGCUGUCUCAGACUUGUUUGGUUACCCUAAGUAACCAUUUAGCAGCCAAUUUCUGAUAUGACUAUAGAUACAUCUCUAUAAGUGAAUUCUAUAGGUGAUUUGGCAUGAUCAAAAUGAAAAGGCUUUGUUUGAGUUCCCCAAUAUACUGCUCAAAUGAAAGCUUCUCAAAAUAUCAUUUUGAGAUACGACAGGUCUUUCCUUCAAAUACAACAGAUACUUUUCUUUUGCAGCACUCAGCAUACAUACAACUAUUUAUUUAUCUGUAAGUACUUGCUUAGUAUCUGUGAAGAACAUUGCAGGUACCUGACAUAUGUCUAACUGAUGGAGUGAGGCUGCUAAUGUGGCCAUCUCUCCCUCUUCCUGAUAAGAAAGUGAACCAGCCAUUUCAAAAUGUGGAGAAUUCGAUAAAUAUGUUCUACUCCUCUAUAGCCCUCCCACUAAAAUAAUUUUCAAUUUUCAAUUGAGGUGAAAGGAAGAAUCGGCAAAGAGACGGAUUGAGAGAAUUGUUUAUACUCAUAACUUCGUUCUCAACAUAAUUAUCUAUUUCUGAAUCCUAAAAAUCACCUAGCUAGAUUCUCCCUCAAUCUGAAGAUUACCUUUUACUCCUUGAGAUGCUAAAUGUGUUCCUAUUUAUCAUAUUAAUAUUGCGAGUAUUUUGUGUUAUGCAGCCAGAAAAAUCACAUAAUGGGAACUUACCCACAGCCCCCAAACUCAUAAACAGGAGCUGAAUAGAAAUUCCUCAGUGCAAUUUAUGGUAACAAUUUCAUGCUCAGUUUAGUUACUUCCAUGACUCAGAAAAGAAAUUUCUUUUGCUUAUUUCAGUAAUUUUUUUCUAAAAAAUUGUUCCCCUAAUUUUUGGCAAAGGAUCUAUGAGAAAGUGAAGAACUCCCUGGUUGUACAUGGAUUUGGAAUUGUCACUUAAGUGAGGCCAAAAUGUAACCCUAUGCCAUUCAUUGCAUAGUACCAUUUGUUAUAAAUUUGACCUCUAAAACAAAGAUAUUACAAAGCCAUUGAGUGUUUUUUUAAGGGAUAUAUUAUAUUUGUCACUUAGUCCCCAGUAUUAUGAUGGAAAACCUGGAUAGUGGAUAGAAAACCUGGAGGUCAUUUAGGCAUCUCUUUCACUGGUUGGGUGAGAAAUGGUGAAGAAGAUGGGAAUGGAGAAGGGACAUACAUUUGGUAAGUGUAAAUAAGAGUCUUUGCUGAUUAAUUCAGUGUGGCCCAUGAGAAAGAGUGGAAGUGUCCAAGGUUCCCUCAGGUUUACAGCUUGGGCAACUGACUGAGAACAGAAAGGAGCUGCCAUUGAGAGGAAGAAAAGAAAAUGACACUGAGUCCAUGUUGGGACACAUUGGGUUUAAAGGGAUAUCAUUAUGACCUAAGCUCUCUGAAUUCCAGUGACUGGGAAUAUGGGAAGAUACAUCUUUAACAGUUGAAGCAAUUUAUACACUUUAACAAUUGAAGCAAUUUAUACACCAGAGCCUAAGGAAUAUUUAUAGAUGAGGGCUGUGCUGCAAUGACAGAUAGGGUUGUAUGAAACAUACACUAAUCUGACCAUUCUAUCCUCCAGACUCAGGGAAGGAAAUAAUAAAAGUAAGUAACCAUAAAAAAUAGACUUUUAUGCAUAAAUAAAUAAAAAUCAGCUAGGAGACAGUUCAUCCCUGUAUAAGUAAAACAGGCAAAUUUAUCUUUCCUCUGAUUAAUAAUUUAAGAAAAAAUCCCAAGCAAGCUGCCUAUGGAGGUGUAGGAGUAGCUCCUAUAAUUAGACUCCAAUUUGAACCAUGAGGGUGAGGAUCAGAAAGCUGACUCAGAGCCUGGUGUCAAUUAUUUGCAGUUUGUACAACGAAAGGCUAAAAAUUUGGGAGAUGCAGGAUGACUGAAGCCCGAUUCUGGGGGUUGUUACAGCACAGUUACAGGGCCUUCCUCACACCCAUGUCUUCAGAUACCCAAGGCCUUUAAUACCCAAGUCCUUCCAGGAUUCUGCACAUCUCAUUAGCUUCAUAUUCCCGUAAGUACUUGGGUUUCUGCUUUCUCAGCUCUGAUGUGUCAUUUUCUAAUCAAUCAUCAGCAUUCCAGCUUCCAAAGUUUUGUUCAUAUAUCUUACAUGUGUUGUCUUGACCGACUUCUUUUUGGACCUUAGAUUAUUUACCUAUUUAAAUUCCUUAAUUGUUACUUUAGUGGAGUUUUGGAAGGGAACAAAAAUAUAGGCAGGUGUUUAUCACAUUUAACAAGGAACUCAAAAUUUAUAUUUAAUUCUAUUUAAUCUGGCUGCCUUCUUGCCAUCAGUCUAUUUGAAAAGUUCAUAUGGACCCAGCUCUGUCAUCAUCACAUGUUCUAUAUCCCCAAACCUUGUGACAUCUGCAAAGAAGUACAGAAGACCUCAAGAGAAGAUAAGCUAGAAUUUAUUUAUUUUUAUACCUUUUAUUCAGUUUUUAUUAAAGCUUUCCUACCUUUCCAGAUUGACACAGAAUUAUUCCAUGAAUCUGUCUAUUAAUCCAUUUACAGCAAGUGCUGGGGAUAGAAAUUAAGGUUUAAACAUAUAAUUCCUGCCAUCAAAGGACUCCCUGUUGAUUAGGGGACACAGGCAAGAAAAUAGACAGUAAGUUUGUUAAGGCAUGAACAAAGAACUGUGUUGGUACACACAGUACAGAGAGGAAGUACAAAGAGGAUGGUGCUUAAGAAGAGUUAACACCUAGACCUAAUCUUAGAGGAUGAGGAAGCAUUGGGUAGACUAGAAGACUAGGUGUAGGGGUAAAGGAAGGCAUAUCAGAGAAAAGGGAGCAGCUACAUAGAGGCAAGGACUAUGCCUCUUCUGCCUCUGAAGAGGAGAAAUUUCUUUCAAUCAAUAGAAAGUGCAGGACAAAGGGUACUAAGUCAUCUUUUGAUGGGAUAACUUGAUGUUAGUGUCCUUCCAUGAGAAAAUGGGAAGCAGCCCCUUAUAAUAAAACCUCUGGCUUUUGAAUUACCAAGUAAAACUGAGGUGUCAGCAACCCUUGGCUGAAUGUGGAACUUGCUAAUAGAACCCCUACAUUCAUGGGAAGGGAUAAAAGAGCUUUAAAAAGUACAAAAGCAUUGUGUGAAUAUAUGGGAUUAAUAUUACUACUACAAUAUUGCCUACCACCACCAUCCCCAGCCCUGAGGAGUCUUCUUAAACUUACAAAAUGAAGCUGCUUCUCUAUGGAUGUAGACAUUUCCUGGUUUCAACAUUGCACCAUAGCUAUGCAUUAUGUCAACAUUGGGAAAAGGCAGGGUGGAAGGUGCACAGGAGCUCUCUGUACAUUUCUUUGAAACUUCCUUUAUACCUUUUAAAAGUUAAAAAGCAGCAGCAGUGGCAGCUUCUCAAGGCCAAAGAUGGGGAGCUCUAUUUCAUUUGCAUUUCUACUCAGGGCUAUAAUGAAUUGAACUCAAUGUGUUGCUAAAGAUUAUUAUGAAAUUAAAAUCCAAUUAGGAUGGUCUCGUGGGUCUGGUAAAAGCUUGGAUUAGAGACCAGGCACAACACGGGGUUGGGGGAGAUGGACUGCUCAAUAGAAGUAGGGCUGAGUGGGGAGUUUAAAGCACUGGCCUCUAAGUAUAGGAACCACUGUACAAAUUUUAAAAUAUACUCAGGAUAGUUAAUAUUUGAUCAAAAUCCACUGUGAAGUGAGGAAUUUUUCCUGCUGGGCAUUCUAUUUUCCAGUUCUAUGAUCAAGCCCAGUGACUGGUAAAUACAAUAUGCCCCACUAGCCCCCAGCUUCUCCCAGCUCCUGUUCCCUCCUGGUGCUCAAAGGGAGAAAGGCUAAGAAAUUCCAAGCCCUGGUCAGGAAAGUGAUCUUGAAAUCACACACAAUGAAUAGUGCCAUCACUAAUGACUCAGCUUGUAAAGAACCAGUGAAGUGAGGAAAUUCUUUCUAUGCACAGAAUGUCUAGAUAUUUAGGCAAAAUUGAAGGGGAUGAGGCAGGAAUAACCAGGACAAACUCAGUAAGAACUUCAACCCUGGUUUUCUCAAGAUUCAGUUUAUGUGCUGAUCAUUUUCUCUCAUAUCUAAUUCCCUUACUUCCCCUGCUCUGUUUUACAUCGAAAGUGCUGACUUCAUGCAAAUUACAUGCAAUUUGCAUGUAAUUUGGAAUUUGCUCCCUGGGAAAAUCACUUCUGACUAGGUUCAGCCAAUGGGAGGCACUAACAGGAGAUUGGAGGGUAGGAGGAAGGGAGGCAUAAGGGAAUUUCUUUCCCCUCUCUGUUUCAGGUGGCAUUUCAAGAAUGUCUGUUUUUCCUCCAUGAUUUCUAUAGAUAUUCCUUAAUUUUCAAGUCUCCAUUAGCAUAGGUAUGAAGGUUUCUCAAUGUGCUCUUGCUUUGGCUUCCUUUAGUCAGAAUAGAAAGAGAAAGUUUUUUAACUUUAUUCAAACAUAUUAGGGGUUUGCUAGAGAAUACAUUAUUUGCCCCUAGUUAUCCUGAUGUUAUAAAAGGAGGCAGACCUGGACAAGUGUAAAUUAGCACAGACAUUCUAACAAUCACCAGAAAAAUGCACCCAUAAGUAGUGCCAAUGCAAGAAGUUUUGACUGUAAUGCCCGUGUGCAGUAGGCUGAAUGAUGGCCCCCAAGUAUAUCUAUAUCCUAAUCCCGAGAACUUGUGAAUGUUACUUGCUAUGCUGAAAGGGACUUUGAAGGUGUGAUUAAGGGUUUUGAGAUGGGGAGAUUUUCCUGGAUUAUAUGAAUGUGUCCUAAAUAUAAUCACACAGGUCCAUGUAAGAGGUAGGCAAGGUCAAAGGAGGAAAUAGAAGGUAAGAUAAUGAAAACAAGAGGUUGGAGGGCUGUGAGGAAGGGGGUCACAAGCCAAGAAGCAUAGGUGGCCUAGAGAAGCUAGAAAACACAAAGAAAUGGAUUUCUUAUAGAGUCUUCACGGGGGACUAGCCUUGCUCACACCUUGACUUUAGCCUAGUGAAACUGAUUUCAGACUUCUGGCCUCCAAAACUGUAAGAGAAUAGAACUGUGCUG